GAAACUUGCAUCAACUCUGUAAAUUGCUUAAUAAACAUAGUGAUGAAAGAGUAAUGAAUCCAAAAGCUAAUGAAGCAGAUUCUUGCUUAAUAACAGCUACAUAUAAAUAUUGUGUAGUUUUCAUCAAUGGCAUCAACGUAUAUUCAUGAUUCUCUGUAUAUUUUGUCUACUAAUAUUGUAAGCUUGAGACAAGCAUUUACAGAGAUGAUGAUCAAGCAAACUAAGAUUCUUCGUAGGUAAAAUCAGUUUCAUAGACAUGAAUUAGUAGAGAAUCUGAAGCUUUACACAAGCAUAUCGUUAAUGAUGAACUAAUGAUGUUUGUUCCAAGAACUAAGAUUCUUCAUAGGUAUAAUUAGUUCUCCCAAAUUCACCACUCCAAACCCUGAUUUCUGCCCUAAUUUCGAAUUUCCUAAAUACCAACUUCGAAAAACUAAUCAAUCCAGCGUGAAUCUAAAAUCGA
Long non-coding RNA from Arabidopsis thaliana (thale cress), 460 nucleotides. RefSeq annotates it as other RNA. NCBI's taxonomy places the organism in Eukaryota, Viridiplantae, Streptophyta, Magnoliopsida, Brassicales, Brassicaceae. The record is from RefSeq. The transcript has a single exon.